GACGAACGCUGGCGGCGUGCUUAACACAUGCAAGUCGAACGGAAAGGCCCUGCUUUUGUGGGGUGCUCGAGUGGCGAACGGGUGUGUAACACGUGAGUAACCUGCCCUUGACUUUGGGAUAACUUCAGGAAACUGGGGCUAAUACCGGAUAGGAGCUCCUGCUGCAUGGUGUGGGUUGGAAAGUUUCGGCGGUUGGGGAUGGACGCGCGGCUUAUCAGCUUGUUGGUGGGGUAGUGGCUUACCAAGGCUUUGACGGGUAGCCGGCCUGAGAGGGUGACCGGCCACAUUGGGACUGAGAUACGGCCCAGACUCCUACGGGAGGCAGCAGUGGGGAAUAUUGCACAAUGGGCGGAAGCCUGAUGCAGCAACGCCGCGUGCGGGAUGACGGCCUUCGGGUUGUAAACCGCUUUCGGCUGUGACGAAGCGUGAGUGACGGUAAUGGGUAAAGAAGCACCGGCUAACUACGUG
RNAcentral lists this ribosomal RNA (468 nucleotides) under uncultured bacterium. Its description in RNAcentral is "partial 16S ribosomal RNA". It matches the Rfam family "Bacterial small subunit ribosomal RNA", at positions 28 to 507 of the family's 1533-position model. The record is from RNAcentral.